Molecule: ribosomal RNA, 510 nt
Filed under: uncultured bacterium
Lineage: Bacteria
Description: partial 16S ribosomal RNA
Rfam family: Bacterial small subunit ribosomal RNA
Source: RNAcentral
GACGAACGCUGGCGGCGUGCUUAACACAUGCAAGUCGAACGAAGAGCGAUGGACGCUUGCUUCUAUCAAUCUUAGUGGCGAACGGGUGAGUAACGCGUAAUCAACCUGCCCUUCAGAGGGGGACAACAGUUGGAAACGACUGCUAAUACCGCAUACGAUCUAAUCUCGGCAUCGAGGAUAGAUGAAAGGUGGCCUCUAUGUAUAAGCUAUCACUGAAGGAGGGGAUUGCGUCUGAUUAGCUAGUUGGAGGGGUAACGGCCCACCAAGGCGAUGAUCAGUAGCCGGUCUGAGAGGAUGAACGGCCACAUUGGGACUGAGACACGGCCCAGACUCCUACGGGAGGCAGCAGUGGGGAAUCUUCCGCAAUGGACGAAAGUCUGACGGAGCAACGCCGCGUGAGUGAUGACGGCCUUCGGGUUGUAAAGCUCUGUUAAUCGGGACGAAAGGCCUUCUUGCGAAUAGUGAGAAGGAUUGACGGUACCGGAAGAGAAAGCCACGGCUAACUACGUG